AAAAACUAGGAGCUAAUUAUUGACUUCAGGAGAAGAAACCAGAGGUCCUCAUCAGAGGAUCAGAGGUGGAGAGGGUUAGCAACUUUAAAUUCCUCGGUGUUGUUAUUUUGGAGGAACUGGCCUGAUCCCAGAACGUUUGAGUCAUGUCAGCUAUAAUCUGCCACUGGCUCCUGGCAAACUGCACAUUCCCAGUGAGGUGUAACUCAGAGGUCGAGUUGCCAGCUCGAUGCUUAACCCAGCACGGAUGGAAAGCACGCAAGGAGCCAGCCAGAUUCGAACCUGGGACCACUCGCUUCGAAGUACGAUGUGGACGCCACUACACCUCCAGCUGGCCAAGCUACACUAAUUCAUGUGUUGUGUUAAGUUAACUUUGUGAGUAAUUAAAAAUGGUAUGUGCUGGUGCCUAAUAAAAUGGGGCUCUUCACCCUCUGUAGGAGAGGGAGAUCGAGGCUGGCAGGAGAUCAUA
Hypanus sabinus (Atlantic stingray) is the source of this 466-nucleotide long non-coding RNA. RefSeq lists it as uncharacterized. The record is from RefSeq and is a predicted model, not a curated record. Lineage: Eukaryota; Metazoa; Chordata; Chondrichthyes; Myliobatiformes; Dasyatidae. The transcript is spliced from 3 exons.